This 207-nucleotide ribosomal RNA is filed under the name uncultured bacterium. RNAcentral describes it as "partial 16S ribosomal RNA". It matches the Rfam family "Bacterial small subunit ribosomal RNA", at positions 568 to 774 of the family's 1533-position model. The record is from RNAcentral.
CUCGUAGGCGGUUUGUCACGUCGUCUGUGAAAACCCGAGGCUUAACCUCGGGCCUGCAGGCGAUACGGGCAGACUUGAGUACUGUAGGGGAGACUGGAAUUCCUGGUGUAGCGGUGGAAUGCGCAGAUAUCAGGAGGAACACCGGUGGCGAAGGCGGGUCUCUGGGCAGUAACUGACGCUGAGGAGCGAAAGCGUGGGUAGCGAACA